CCUACGGGUGGCUGCAGUGGGGAAUAUUGGUCAAUGGUGGGAACCCUUAUCCAGCGACGCCGCGUGAGGGAAGAAGGUUUUGGGAUUGGUAACCUCUGUCUGUGGGGACGCUAAUGCCGGUACCCACGGAGGGAGCCACGGCUAAAUACGUGCCAGCAGCCGCGGGAAUACGUAGGGGGCCAGCGUUGUCCGGAAUUACUGGGUGUAAAGGGAGCGUAGGCGGGAUGUCAAGUCAGAAGUGAAAAUUAUGGGCUCAACUCAUAACCUGCUUUUGAAACUGAUAUUCUUGAGUGAAGUAGAGGCAAGCGGAAUUCCUAGUGUAGCGGUGAAAUGCGUAGAUAUUAGGAGGAACACCAGUGGCGAAGGCGGCUUGCUGGGCUUUUACUGACGCUGAGGCUCGAAAGCGUGGGGAGCAAACAGGAUUAGAUACCCCUGUAGUC
This 440-nucleotide ribosomal RNA is filed under the name uncultured bacterium. RNAcentral describes it as "partial 16S ribosomal RNA". It matches the Rfam family "Bacterial small subunit ribosomal RNA", at positions 338 to 795 of the family's 1533-position model. The record is from RNAcentral.